AAUUAAUGCCCCUUUUUGUAGAGCACAGUACCUCACUGGCUGUAGCCAUAGGCGUGCGCAUGGGGUGUGCCUGGGCACACCCUAAUCCCUGCAGCAUGCACUAUGUGCCUCCCUCCAUGGGCUGGUGAGGGAGACCAACCCACAGGCAGUGAGGGAGGCAGGAGAGGACCCGGGGAGCAGUUGCCAGCAGCUCCACCAGGUUCCUCUCGCGAGGUCGGAGCGUUGCUGCGGUUACCCUGUGGGGCUAGAGUUCACUCACCACUGGACCACCAGGGAUGGCAGCAGCAUGGUAUAGGAUUUGGAAACAUUUCAAGAAAACACUGCUAUAUUUAGAAAGAGCAACGAUGUGGUAAUGUACAAAAAGCUCAUAUUGUGGUCCUUAAGAGAUUUCCUAUCAUUUGUUUCUGUGUAGUACAGAAGUGAGACUGUAGCAGAGAGUCUGCUCUACACGUUGUUCCUUUAUGUAUUCAGUUUUCCUUCAGACAUUUACCACGAAGGAAGGCCUUUCUACGCUGAUUGGCUGAUAAGGUAGCUGAUUGUUUACAGUACAUAGACCUCAUUGUUAAAAGGCCGAAUAACACAAAAUUAAGAAUUUUUUUGAAACUCUGUUUUAUCCUUGCCCACAGCUACAGGUAGAAAUAAUUUUAUCUGCCUUUUAUGAAAGGUAUGAUAAGGUAAGAAGGGAGGGGGGCUAUUAACUAAACGGCCCCCACACAAUACACACUAACAGCACACACACAUACUAACAGCACCCUCACACAUACAUCAUCCUUACACACAGCACACACACAUACUAACAGCACCCUCACACACACAGCAUCCUUACAAACACACACAUACACACACUUACAGCAACCUCACACACAGCACCCUUACACACACACACAACACCCUCACAAACACACAGCGCAUACACACACACAUCAGUGUAUGUGUGUAUAUAUAUAUGUGUGUGUGUGUGUGUAUAUAUAUAUAUAUAUAUAUAUAUAUAUAUAUAUAUAUGGCGUGUGUGUUUGUGCUUUAGGGUGCACACCCUUAUGCAAAAGGCUGCGCACGCCUAUGGCCGUAGCAACUGCUGAGUGACAUUACACUUUGCUGCCUAAUUUGUUGUCGAUAACGAUUCCCAAAUCCUUCUCGUGUGUUGUUAUCCCUAAUUCAGUACCAUUAGGGUACAAAUCGCUAAUGCAUUCUUUGCUCGGAUUUUUCUACAUUAAAAGUUUCAUCUGCCAUUUUAGUGCCCCCAUCUAUCUAAAUCCCUCUGCAUUGAAAAAAUAUUCUGCUCACAUUGUAUUACUUUGCAGAGUUUUGUGUAAUUUGCAAACUCUGAAACAUGACUUUCAAUGCCUAUUUCAAGAUCAUUUAUAAAUAUUUUAAAUAGAAGCUGUUCUAGAACAGAACCCUGAGGGACACCAAUUACCAUGUUUGUCCAGCUUGAAAAUUUACCAUUUAUGACAACUCUCUGUACUCUAUCUUUAAGUCAAUGUUCUACCAAAGAACAAGAUUUUUCAUCUAAACCAGUGGUUCCCAACCUAUCCUCAUGGCCCAGCGACAGUCCAGGUUAUUUUCAGUAUCUCUGUUGCAAUAAAUGAGGAAACUACAUAAAUUUUUGAUUUUAUAACAAGACACGGAGGCUCAUAUUGCAUAUCCCUUUCUUUACUGUCCACCAAUAGCAGCAAAGAAUACAAACAGAAUGAAAAAAUAAUGAACAUGCAGUAACAUAGGCCCCUCCCCGCUCAGGUCCCAGUAUAACAGGCAGCACUUCCCUUCCAUUUCCCUCUUUCUUUGCUGCUCCGACACAAAGAUAAGUACAUGUCAUUUUUUUCUCUUCAUAUUCUCUUAUUAUACUGUUUUUUUCUCAUUGAUAUUUUCUGUCAGUCUGCUUACCACUUAACCUGGUAGCAUUCUAUAGUUUUUCCUACCAUAUUUAUCUUACAUUUAUUUGUAUUUAUUGUAUUUAUAUAUUUAUUUAUUCAUUUUAUUUAUAUUUAUUUCAUUUUCAUUUUGUAUUACAAUUAUUUAGUAUUUUGUCUCAUCUAUGUCUUUAUCUGUUUUUCUGUUAGUCUCAGGGCCCAGACCUCCCCUGUCUAUGUAGUCUUGUCUCCUGUCUGUCUUUUUGCCCUGGCGCCAUUUUGCGCACCUUCUCUCCCCGGCCGUGUAUGCGUGCGAAUUGAUUCGCCGCACACACAUCUCAUUCCCCAUUCAGCGAAAAGAGCGUUUGCAUGUUUGCCGCAUUCGAAUUUUUUAUGCGAACGGUACGUUCGCCUAUUCUAUAUUCCCAUAUACUUACCUUUCUGGUUCCCGAAUUCACCUUAUUUUACCGAACGUUCGGUAGUUUUACCGCGAAUCUCGCGAAUCCCGCGAGAUUACCGGUGGCCAUUUUCAGACUUCCUGUCUCCUACAUCUUAGUGUGUCACUGGUUUGGGCCCUGGUGAGAGCGUUUUUAGCUUUGUCUAGCUGUUUGGGUGACUAACCCAUACCUUUUCUCUUACCUAUUCCCUGCUAAUUUUCUCAGCAUGCCUAAACCCAGACUAUCCGCUGGGCCCACUCCCUCUGGGGAGUCUGAUACCCCACUCAUUAGGAGUGAGGUUCCUGUCACCUCAGACAACUCGCCUACUAUGGCUGAUGGAACUACCCACCCUGAUGGGGCACAGUUCCUAGCGCUGCAGCGCUCAGUGACAGACGCCAUUAUGGCGGCCAUGGGGUCUAUGUCCUCCACCCUCUCCCACACCAUUUCACAGGCCCUCUUGCCAUGUCCUUCAGACGAGCAACUUUCGGGCUUCUCGACGCCUUUACCGCGUCCCUCCAUGAAACCCCAGGGAGAGGUGUUUAAAAAGGCUACCCGUAAGUCCAAGCAUCCCUCUGCCUCCAGAAACACCAUGACUGGCGUACCUUCGGUCGCCCCAGAAAGCGUGUCCCAUCCACGCAAAAGAGCCUUUCUGCGCCAGGCAGAACGGGCGCGGCUAUGGAAAUGUGCCAGAGCACAGAUAGAGAGCGACACCGACUCAGAAAUCAGGUCAAAUGAGGAGGCUAAGAGCGAGUCAGAUACUGACUCUGAUGUGGAUGCCACUGAUGCUGGUCUUGACCUCCUUUCCUCUGCUCAGGCAGAGAUGCCCGGAGGCGAGAUAGGGAUCAGGAACCCCGCGGCUGCGGGGUCCACCCUUGUGGAUCCUUCGGGUGUCCCACUCUUCGACCCGGAUGAUCUACACCAUCCGAGGUCGGCAGAGUGGCUCCCGGCUGACCACGUUGCCACAUACCUGGAAAAUUGGGUCAGAAGACCCUUAUGUAAAGCGGCCCGCAACAAAUUGAGGGCAGAGUGUCCUAGGCCUGUGGUGCCUAACAAAGUUUGUGACACUCCGGAGGUACACCCCAAGAUGACCCAGUUCCUCACUAAAAUGGGCUGUAAUCCCCGUAAAGGACUGGAGUCGGCAUUGAAAUCCUGCCAGGACAAACACCUGGACAUAUUCGGCCCCUUGGCCAAAUUAUUUGACUUGGCGGAAGACGCCAGAGCAGAAAACCUCAUGGUUGACCCUGAAGACCUUAGAGGUUGGGUCCAGAGAGCAAUAUGCAUUGCUGGGAGUGUAAAUACCUCCCUAUCUAUAGAAAGGCGUAAGGCCAUAUUAUUCAAAAUUGAGCCCAAACUGGCCAACCUCGCCCUUACGGAAGCGGUUAAAGACGCCCAAGGACUUCUCUUCGGAGAUUCCUUCAUAAAAGAUUUAGGGCACUUCGUUGGAGCUUUCACGGCUCUAGACAAGGCCCAAGCCUCCAUGAGGCGAGUAUUCCAGGGGUGGGUCUCUACCAAGGCCGGCAGAUUCAGGAGCCAUCUGUCCGGCCGCAGUUACCCCCAAUCCCGUGGCACGGGAAGAGGCUCCUUCCAGCACCGUAACCAGUACCAGGAUUCCACCUCCCGCCCCACAUUUUUUCCAUCCCGCGGACGUCCAUGGCGAUCCAGAGGCUUUCGGGGUAACCCAAGCUCAAGACGACCAUAUGGUGAGUUGCCUCAUACCACACAUUUCUUCUCCGGCUUACGUAGGGGGCAGACUCCAACAUUUUUUCCCAGCCUGGUCACAAAUCACUUCAGACCCCUGGGUACUGACCACUAUUCGGGGUUUCUGUAUAGAACUCACCAAUCAUCUCAUACACAUUCCCCCUCCUCGACCGAUCUGCUUUUCCCUCCAGGAUCGCAGACGGAUCGACGAGGAACUCUCAACCCUCCUUAUCAAAGGGGCUAUAGAACAAGCACCCCUCAACCCCGCAGGUGUCAUAAGCAAUAUCUUCCUGGUGGAAAAGAAGGGCGGCCAAUUGAGACCCGUCAUAAAAUUUGCGCCCCCUCAAUGCCAUAGUCAGGUACCGCCAUUUCAAGAUGGAAGGUAUUCACCUACUAAGAGAUCUCCUCCAGGGAGACUGGCUAGCGAAGCUAGGCCUAAAAGACGCCUACCUGACAGUGCCGAUUGCGGCGGCAUCUCGAGACCUCCUACGCUUUUACUGGCGGCACGAGACAUGGCGGUUCAUCUGCCUACCCUUUGGCCUCUCCUCAGCACCGUGGUGCUUCACGAAGCUAUUACGGCCUGUGAUGGCCUGGCUACGCAGUCGAGGAGUUUGACUAAUCGUCUACCUAGACGAUAUUCUCCUCAUGGCUCAGGAGCGUUCCACCCUCCUCACACAUCUACGGCUGGCCAUAAACCUCCUUUCACACUUAGGUUUCAUAAUCAACUGGGAGAAGUCAUGCCUGACCCCCCCCACUCGCAUGGAAUUCUUAGGAUUCCUGGUGGAUUCGGGGGCAGCAACGCUGAAAAUUCGAUCCAUCCGCAAAGAGUUAGGCAGGGCCCUCAUCCGGCCCCAGCUCACCUUACGCCAACUUGCACGACUCAUAGGCCUGCUGGCCUCCUCGAUACAGGCCGUGUUCCCAGGUCCACUCCACUACCGAGCGCUACAGCGCCUAAAGAUCGCUCACCUAAGAUCCGGGACAUCCUACGUGGAUCUGGUAUCAUUGGACAGCGAGACGAAAGACGAGUUGCGAUGGUGGAUUCUCAACCUGUCCGCAUGGAAUGGCAAAGCCAUCUUCGGCUCAAUGCCAGAAUUCACAAUCGACUCAGAUGCGAGUCUCCACGGCUGGGGAGCCCACUGCGAGGGAGUCUCAACAGGGGGCCGUUGGUCUGAAUCUGAAUCCCGAAUGCACAUCAACGCCCUGGAACUCCUGGCAGGCUCCUUUGCCAUUCGCAGCUUCGCCAGGGACCGAGCCCUAUCAUGUAUUUGGCUCCGCAUGGACAAUGUUUCGGCGGUGAGAUAUGUCAACCACCUGGGUGGUACACAGUCGGCAGUCCUGGCCAGAUUGGCGAAAGAGUUUUGGGAAUUUUGCCUGGAACGGAACCUGAUGGUCUACGCGGAAUACCUACCUGGUCUGCACAAUGUCCAGGCGGACUGGGGUUCACGUUAUCUCUCAGACACCAGCGACUGGAGAUUGGCCAAGGAGGUGUUCUCCAAUAUAUCGUAUCUCUGGGGACCGUUUACCAUAGACCUUUUCGCUUCCCGGCUCAAUGCCCAACUCCCACGCUUCUUCAGCUGGAGGCCAGAUCCAAUGGGGGAGGCAGUGGACGCCUUCCUACAAGACUGGAAUGGAGGCCUCCUAUAUGCCUUUCCCCCAUUUUCCAUGAUCCCGCGCUCACUCCUACAGACCCGCAAACACCGGGCAGAAGUGGUCAUGGUCACCCCAUUUUGGGAAACGCAGUCGUGGUUCCCCCAAAUGCUCGAGAUGACCUUAGACUAUCCCCGACUACUACCGGGACACCACAACUUGCUGCAGGACCCGAUGGGACGAUAUCACCCUCUCCGGUUAGAAGGCUCUCUCCCACUCCUGGCAUGGCGGAUCUCCGGGGACCCUGGGAAAUCCAAGGAGUUUCGGACACAACUAGACACCUAUUGCCAGCAGCAUGGGCUCCCGGCACUAGACUGGCAUAUGGGUCAGCUUGGCGAGCUUGGGCUGGCUGGUGCAUGGCUAGGAACGCGGAUCCCGUUUCGGUCUCUGUAACAAUGGUCCUGCAGUUCCCGACGUCCCUCUUCGAGGCUGGAAAGGCUUACAGGACUAUUAACCUUUAACGAUCUGCUAUCUCGGCGAUUCACCAAGGCUUUGAUGGCUGCCCCGCGGGACAGCACCCCUUAGUGUGCCGACUCCUCAAGGGUUCUAGAUUUUCACGACCACCCAGGCCCCGCUACUCCACGACCUGGGACGUCUCGGUCGUAUUGGCUUUCCUCUCAUCCUGGCCCGCUAACUCAGGACUCUCCCUCAAACAGCUAUCUGCCAAAUUGGUUUGCCUGCUCUGCCUCGUCUCAUGCAAGAGGGUUUCGGAUGUCAGAGCACUGGACUUCGAUGCCAAGUCAUAUACCCCGGACGGGGUAACUUUCAACAUCAGCAGGCGGACUAAGACUUCCAUCAAAUCAGUAUCCUACCCUAGUUUCCCUACCUCUCCUUCACUAUGCCCAGUGGCCUGCCUUCGCGAAUACGAGACUCGCACCAACCCACAUCGCUCUACCGUCUCUCCUCAGUUGUUUUUAUCUUUCCGUCCUCCUUUUCACCCGGUUUCUAGCACUACCUUGUCACAAUGGGUGAAAUGGCUGUUGUCCCAAGCAGGUAUUGAUACCACGAUAUUUGGCGCCCAUUCGGUCCGGGGGGCAUCAGCCUCUUCUAUGAUGUCGGCAGGCGCACGCCUGAAGGACAUUAUGAGGAUGGCUGACUGGUCUAGGGAGUCUACAUUCCGGGAAUUUUACUUUCGGCCGGCCCCACAUACAUUCGCUGCGGUAAUGGAUCAGCUUUAAACUUGCAAUAUGAGCCUCCGUGUCUUGUUAUAAAAUUACAUGAUUUUGCUAUUACAUGACGAAAAGUCAUGAUUUUAUUAAAGACACGGAGGCGAGUAUUGUCCCACCCUUUUUCGUUCUUACACAGUUGUAAUAAUAAUAAUUUUCCCUCCCCGAAUUACUCAUACUACAAUACACCAGUAUGGUACGGUAAGUGGGGCCAUACUUAGACAAUGAUGUUUCAGUAAUGCUGGGUAUAUCAGUUGUUUUGUGGGACUGUGCAUAUGUUGGUUAUUUUUGAAACUAGUUACAAGUAUCGACUUUAACCUGUCGGCUCCUGUUCCUUUAUGUUUUCACAGCUUAAUCCGGCAAGACGGCAAGCAGUUGUUCGGCUUAGAAGGACUCCUCCCGCUGUUAUCCGAUGGUCCUAUGACUCCUAUGGUCAAGCUUUCCAGUUAUUGAUGUUCU
Non-coding RNA from Pelobates cultripes (western spadefoot toad), 7257 nucleotides. NCBI's taxonomy places the organism in Eukaryota, Metazoa, Chordata, Amphibia, Anura, Pelobatidae. The record is from the annotation of a GenBank genome assembly.